RNAcentral lists this long non-coding RNA (4434 nucleotides) under Homo sapiens (human). RNAcentral describes it as "HSALNT0189453". The record is from RNAcentral. Lineage: Eukaryota; Metazoa; Chordata; Mammalia; Primates; Hominidae.
CGCGCCUGGGAGCAGCCACCCGUCCGGUGCAGCACACUGCGCCUGCAGGCGGCCCGCGGUGCGCACCGCCCCCGCCUUAGCACCCAUGGCCGGGGCAGGGCCGACACCUCCACGUCGCCGCUUACCUUCCCCAGCUAAGUGACGCGCCACCAGCCUGGAGCUCAGCGGACGCUAGUCGAAAGCCAGGGUCGCAUUCCCGAAAUGGUCUGGGGCCUCCUGGGCCCAACCCUCUCCCCUGCCCCCCUCCCCGGCCGCGAAGACCAAGUGCCGGAACGUCCCAGUGGCGCCCGCGGCCCAGGCGGCCUUACCUUUCGCUUCGUUAUCCGAGGUGGGUAGGAGCAGGAGGACAGCGGCCUGCCAACAGGUUGUUCCAGGCGAUAGGCGGCUUUGGGGUCGCCCCAGGAGUCCAGCUGCGAGAGACCAAUGGGAUUUGAAAAUGGCCUUGAUGAUUCAGACGGCCGUGACGUCAGCGGGGUCAAGUUGUCGGCAGGCGGAGCGCGCAGAGUGGAGUAACAGCGCCAUCUAGCAGCUGCCUCGGGGUAGGGGCACCGGAGCCCUUCCCCGCGAACAAAGGAAGCGCCCCCCGGGCGGCAGGGGAGGGAAUAUUCCGGGAAAGAAAGAGGGAACCUGCGGAGCCUCGGUCAGUUUGGAGGAGUCACGUAUCACACGGGAAACCAGCACACAAGACGCAACAAAACCCGACCCAGAGAAGCGUCCUUUACAGAGCGCACGGGCUGGGAGCAUGUUUGAAAGAAGACAGACCAGUCUAUUUUUGUGGUUGUUUUUAAAUAAAAGGAAGAAAUAAGGGGAACCGUAUGUUUCAAACAGUUAUUUCCGUUUCUCCAUCGCCUUCUUCCAAAGCGAACUAAACUCUCCACCCCUUCCUCAGGAAACGGAAUCUGGAGAACAACUUGUCUUUCCUGUCGCCCCACAUUUUUCCUUGGACAGAGCCUAGGGUUCAGACUUUCCGAAGGGCUGGAGUUUGGCGGGGAAAGGACUGGAGCCCAGCGCCCUGGAGUGGAGGAGUGAGGAGGCUAGACCGUUUCUAAGGAGGCCCAAGCCCGCUGCGGCUAGAAGACCGCAGAAAGAAAUCCGCCGAAUUUCCCCAUCCAGGGGUGGAGAGAGAAGACGCAGGGGUUCCUGAACCUCCGGAAAACUGGAAGGAAAUGUGGAGUGUAUGAUUUGCUUGCAGGACCGGCCAGGGGAGAUUUGAAAUGGUUUUGUGUUUUCAUAUGCAGGGUCACCGUGGCCUCAGCAUGGGGGUUAUCCAGGGCAAGGUUAGGCUGUUUAGGCCCCAGACUUGGGACAGUCCGGGCAGCAGUCAAUCCAGGGAGCCAUUUGUCCCACCGCCCAUCCCGCGGGAAACGGGCGAGACUUUAUGGCCACUCUGUUUGUAUUAUCUGCAUUAGUCUUUCCCCACCAGUUUGAUCGAAACCGUUCCCUUUUACGAGGACCCAACGAAAAUUUCCCGUCAUAUUUAUCAGCCAGGGAUAAAAAUUUAGUAUGGGAACUGAUAUUUCCUCAUUUAUGGGACGAUGAAAUUAAAUACCAAAGCAAUUGAGAAUUAUAUGGCUUUGGGGGUUCCCUCCCCCCUCUUUCACGUCUCCUUUAUUUUCCUGCCUGGUGUGCUUUUCCCAGGAAUUUAGCGUCCCAGUUCCCUACCCUUACCCCCCACUUUGGAGUCUGGUGGGUCCUUUUCCCCACGGCCAAGUGGCCCUUGGCCACCUCAGCCUUUUCUUUUUUUUUUUCUCUGGGUGUUAGUAGCUGGGGGCCAGGACAGUGCUACCCGAGCCUCUGCCCAGGCCAGCCAGGACAGGCUGGGAUCAGAGAAAGGUUUCCAGGGAAGAGCCGCAAAGGGUUUGAGCCCAGCCUGGGAGGGGGUGAAGGAGUCGGCAGGAAAGGGUGAAGGAGAUAAACUUCAGACAAGCCCCAAGGCGUAGCCUGGGGAACCAGCAGACAGGGAGCAGACCCAUCGGCCUCAGGGGUCCCACCACCCAACCUCUUUCCAAGCCCACCUCUCACCUUAGCCAAGGGAGAGGACAGAGUCGCUUCGGAAUUAUCGCCAUCAUUAAUGAAAAUAAUACUCCAGGGAGGAGCCUCCCGCCUCGACUCCCACCUCCUCACAAGACAGAAUAGUGUUUAAAGUUGAAAUAAUUAGAAGUAUGAUAAACACGGCCGAUUAAUGAAAAAAGAAAUCAAAUUCAUCAGCCUAAGUGGGACCCCCGGUGGGACAAAUGUUUGCCUCUAAUUACGCAAGAUAAACGAAAACCCGGUGCUGCUAAACUAGAGCCCGCUCGGACGCAGACCUGAAUAACUUGUUGGGUUUUCACAGACUUUGAGAUUCUGCUUCAGUGGAGGUAAAAGGAAGGAAAAACCCUCAACACACCCCAGAAGCACCCUGGUUUCUCCAGCAAAAAAUUGGAGUUUCCCCAACAGGUUAAGAAAGUCAACUGGGAAAUUCUGAAGAUGAAGUGAAAAAGGAAGAAUGUCUUUCCCUUUUGGGUUAAAUAAUAAAAUAAAAAUAAAGUGUGUGUAUUGAAAUCUUUUUAAGCAAAGAGGAAACAGAAUCACACCAGAGAUUGCAGGUUUUUUCCUCUUGCUUUGGAGGCCGAGAUAAAUCCUUCCCUUCCCAAAACUUGAAGAAAAGAUUCGCUUUUCUUCUUCACUAGCACCAGGCUCUGCCCCAGCUGAAUUGGGAGCAGGGAAAUUCCAGGCAAAAUUCGGAAUGCCCAGAGACCCAGAAAAGAAAAAGAUUUUCAAACAGGUACUAGAGGGAGGUAGGAGGCUGAGGACACUUAGCAGGGCCUCUGGUCUACUGUGGACCUCACAGCCCCCCAGGCAGCUCGGCCAGCAGAAUCUCUCACGUCUUGACAUUGCACACACUUGCACACAGAUGCUACGGAGUUCAGCAUCUAUACACGUGUCUAACUUGCACUUAAAUAUGUGUACACAGCCACAGAUAUUCACUUUUACCCAAAGUGCUGUCUAAGAUCUCCGAAUCCCGAAUUCUAAUAACCCGCGCCAGUCUGACUGCUUCCUGGCCCUGCCGAAGCUGGCCAGUUAUUUAAUUUUGUCCCCUGAAUUGAAACCAGACCGAAGACACCUCGGAGAGAAGCUUUGGGAGGAGGGUGGGAGGAUGUCUUAGGGGCAGGCCCUGCCCCCCACUUUAGUGGUUUGCUUCUAAGUUGCCCCCAGUAAGUCAGGUUUCUAGCUAGAGUCGGGGCUGUGGUUAGGCUGGCUUGCUCCGGAGAAAAACACCGAACCUUUCUUACCGGUUAAGUUCCUUUUCAAAGAUCUCUGUUUGCCUUCCUUUCCUUUCUUAUUUUUCUUUUUUUUUCUUCUCUUCUUUCUUUCCUUCUUGUUUCAUCCUUCUCUUUUCUCUUUAUUUGCUUCUUUCUGUUUUUCUUUUUCUUUUUUCUUCCUGUAAUUUAUUUUUUCCUACUUUUUCCAAUCCUUUCUCUUUCUUGUCUUCCUUAUUUCUCCCAUUUCCUUGUUUCCUUCUUUCUUUAUUAUACAAUUAAUUCUUUGCUCUUUUCUCUCUCCAAUUAUUUCCUUCCCCCUGACUUUCUUUCCUAGCCUUUCUUAUUUUUCUCUGGUGUGCUGGGCUUAGUGAGGGGGACAGCACCAGGCUCAGUCGCAUGCCUCCCUAGCCCAGCUGCUAAGGCUUGGAGUUGACCUUCUCCCGCCUACAGCCUUAGCUCAGCUCCUCCUCACAAGGCGAAGUGUAGGGCUGCCAGUCAUCAGCAGCCAGGCCCCAGCAGUCGCCAUUAGAGGGAGGAAAAAUAGGAUUCUGGGGCACAUCCACACUAGUGCUGAUGGCUUCUUGAAGUGCUAGGAUUCAGGGGUCAUGUAUUUUCACUUCCAUCACCCCAAAGGAGGCUUGUCUACCAGGCCUACCUUUGGAGAAGUCUGUCCCAUCUUUGUCCUGACCUCCGGAGCUGAAACAUUAAAAUGGCCCAAAGUUGAGCCCAGUUGGUGCUCCCAAGGCUGGAGUCAGGGGAAAUGAGCGAGUGGGAUUUUGUCAGUCCCAGGUUGAGGGGCAGGUCCAGGGGUCAUCCGUGGGCAAGGCCAUCUCCCACAUGGCCGCCUUUGUUCUCUGCUCCUGGACUGCAGCCCUGCUGGGCCCUCUGUCUCCUUUGGUCCUGCAACCACUGCAACCUCUGGGCAGGAGUUUCCUGGUAUUUUGGAUUCUUUCUUCAAACCCAUUGUCGACUUCACAGGCGGCAGGCAGGAAGGCAGGGCUAUGUGUGCAGAGACCCUCCCAAAUCAGCAGUCUGAGUCAAGGUUAUGGGUCUUUGCUUUGUGCAGUGGGUUGGAGGGGUGCGGUGCAGAGAGAUGUGUGUGUGUGUGUGUGUGUGUGUGUGUGUGUGUGUGUGUGUGUGGAGAGAGAGGGAGAGAGAGAGAGUAGUGCCUACAGGAGAACAAGAGGGUGUG